RNAcentral lists this ribosomal RNA (617 nucleotides) under uncultured Glomeromycotina. Its description in RNAcentral is "eukaryotic LSU rRNA". It matches the Rfam family "Eukaryotic large subunit ribosomal RNA", at positions 293 to 766 of the family's 3401-position model. The record is from RNAcentral. Lineage: Eukaryota; Fungi; Glomeromycota.
UGGGAGGUAAAUUUCUCCUAAGGCUAAAUAUCGGCGAGAGACCGAUAGCGAACAAGUACCGUGAGGGAAAGAUGAAAAGAACUUUGAAAAGAGAGUAAAAUAGUACGUGAAAUUGUUGAAAGGGAAACGAUUGAAGUCAGUCGUACCGACGAGAAAUCAACUUAUCGUGUGCGAACUUGUGGGCGUGCGGGAGUUUCGGCCUCGCUGUUUGCAUGUUUGUACGUUUUGGGUGUACUUUUUCGUAUGGUAGGCCAACAUCAGUUUCGAUUACUAUAAAAUGACCGGCGGAAUGUAGCUUCGAUUUCGGUUGAAGUGUUAUAGCCUCUGGUAGAUGUGGUGAUUGGGACUGAGGAUUGCAACGAAUAUCCUUUGGGCUAUCCGUCUGAUCUCUGAAAGUUGCUCAGGUGCCGAAAGCGUGCUUACGGUCAUCUAAGUUGACGGUCAACAGGUUAGAACGUGAUUACAUUCGUUAAGGAUGUUGGCGUAAUGGCUUUAAACGACCCGUCUUGAAACACGGACCAAGGAGUCUAACAUAUAUGCGAGUGUUCGGGUGUUCAAACCCCUACGCGUAAUGAAAGUAAUUUUGGUGGGAUCACUUUUUGUGUGCACCAUCGACC